This 177-nucleotide unclassified non-coding RNA is filed under the name soil metagenome. RNAcentral describes it as "partial internal transcribed spacer 1". The record is from RNAcentral.
CAGAAGGUUACAAUACCCUACAACACCACUGCGAACCGUUCCCUUUUAGCUGCCCUCGGCAGGCCAUCCCCAGGGCGGGGAUUUCCGGGCCUCCUUUGGGGGGCGCCCGCCGGCGGUGCGCACAUAUCUAGCUCUGUCUCUCAGCGGAUUUCUGAGUGAUUUUAAAAAACCUUGUAA